GCCUACGGGGCGCAGCAGUGAGGAAUAUUGAUCAAUGGUCGGGAGACUGAACCAGCCAAGCCGCGUGAGGGAGGAAGGUACAGAGUAUCGUAAACCUCUUUUGUCAGGGAACAAAGGCGGGGACGUGUCCCCGGAUGAGUGUACCUGAAGAAAAAGCAUCGGCUAACUCCGUGCCAGCAGCCGCGGUAAUACGGAGGAUGCGAGCGUUAUCCGGAUUUAUUGGGUUAAAGGGUGCGCAGGCGGUCUGUUAAGUCAGCGGUCAAAGCCCGGGGCUCAACCCCGGCCCGCCGUUGAAACUGGCAGUC
RNAcentral lists this ribosomal RNA (305 nucleotides) under uncultured bacterium. RNAcentral's name for it is "bacterial SSU rRNA". It matches the Rfam family "Bacterial small subunit ribosomal RNA", at positions 337 to 641 of the family's 1533-position model. The record is from RNAcentral.